This 9096-nucleotide long non-coding RNA is filed under the name Taeniopygia guttata (zebra finch). RNAcentral describes it as "lncRNA (ENSTGUG00000029277.1)". Lineage: Eukaryota; Metazoa; Chordata; Aves; Passeriformes; Estrildidae. The record is from RNAcentral.
CUUUUUUUUUUUUUUUUUUUUUUUUUUUGCCAGUCAGAGACGUUCUAGCCAUAUUCCCUUGCUUUCAGCAGUUCUGCCUGUGUGUCCCAACUCUACCUGAUCAGUCAGCAGUUCUGGUUCCUCCUGUCUGCAUACCUAGCUCCAGCACAGCACUCCCAGGGAAAUACCUCAUCUGCCUCUUGGCACAGGCUCUUCAGCCCAGUUUUGUGAUGGCUAGCUAGUAGCAAUGCACUUCCAUGCUGUUGAAAUAGUAGCAAAAAGUAAUGGGUAAAUACAAGGAACUUCAACCACAGAGAACUGAUUUUGCUUCCAAAAGGAAAAAAAAAUAUUGGUGUUUGUUUGAAAAAAGUAAUCUCAAGUCAAUUCAGAAAGUGUUGGAAUUGCAGGCAAUAUGGUGCUGUUUUGUUCCCUACUCAAUUUUGGUUUUGGCUGUACAGUAUGUCAGUUUAUUUUUUAUUUAUAAUUAUUUUUAAACUCACAGCCAGCCAAGCCAAAUGAGUUCAUCCUUAGAAACAGGCUAUCAUUUAUUAUGACUUUUCAUUUGUGCCAUGUAAGCUGCCCCAGCCUCAGGCAUUUGUGUCUUUUAGCACCUUGUGGCCCACAGAGCUCGGUGAUAAACCUUCAUAGUGAUACCUUCAAAAUCAUGUCCUUGUUCUACAUUAGCACAAAAUCCUCCAAAGUGAAUCAAUACCAAAUGGAAGGGAAGGGAAGGGAAGGGAAGGGAAGGGAAGGGAAGGGAAGGGAAGGGAAGGGAAGGGAAGGGAAGGGAAGGGAAGGGAAGGGAAGGGAAGGGAAGGGAAGGGAAGGGAAGGGGAAGGGAAGGGAAGGGAAGGGAAAAUAAAACUUGAAUCUUGAGUUCUACUGUAGCUGUUUUAUCCUUUGGAGGACUUCUUUCUCUAAGGGUGAUGUGGUGAUAUCUCCUGUACAAGGAGCUUUGACAGUAUACCUAAGGACUAUGUAGGUGGUUCAGAAAACAAGUCAUGAUUUGAGCAGCACUGGGUUUCAACACAGAUAGCAUCUUGAGAUGUUAAUUAAGUCCACUUGGAAAUAUUGUGAAGAAUACAUAGUAUUUUCUGUUAGAACCAUACCUUUAACAUGAUCCUUGGUGAAUCCUCCUAGUGCACAAGUUUUGGAUUAAAUGGGGCGAUUUGUAGUCACCUGUAGCCACUACUCUUCCACUUGCCAACAUUUUCACUCACUUAGAUAAAGGAUGACAAUGGGUAAAUAAACCUGGGAGAUUUCUGUCUGACUUAUGGGCAUGUGGAUGUUCACUGUUCCAUGAAGCUAUGAAAAUUAUGUCAGUGAUGUUAAAUUGUUAAAAGUACAUGUUGUAGCAUUGUAGCUCUGAGGGUUUAAAGCAAUACAGCAUCUGCUGGAUGAUUUCAUUGUCACUAACAACUGUCAGUGACAGUGGGAGGUGGCAGAGAAAAACCAUCAGUCUGAUUUACACUGAAUUCUUCUUCCAAAUGUUCCUAUCUGAAAGGUUUCCAAACAGUUAUUAGUUCCUUGGAUUAGAGAUAACAAUAUUUUGUCUUCUGUGAAGAAGAACACAGUGGCUGCAUCUUGUCUGCAGUCCUUGCUCUGACAAAGGCAAAAUCUUAGAGAAGCCUUGGUUGUCAUUUUGCUUAAAUUAAUUGAAUUGCUCUGAAUCCUACAUGGCACUGGCCUCUUGGGCUUCCCAGGCAAAAACUCAGCACUCAGUUUCUCUUGAGCUGGAGAUACUUUCUCACAAGAUCCUUUGAUGAACCAAAGCUCAGCACAACCAUCAAUUAGUUCUCUUAUCUAUUUGAAAUAACGUAUUGUCAAUACCCUUGGGUUGGAAUCACUUUCAUGGGUCAAUUUUUUAAUAUUAGAAGGCAUUGGGAGAGGUAGGCCUGUUUAGUGUAAUUGUUUUGCAAAAGCUAUUUAGUGUUGCCACAGAGGUGCUAUAUUUUAUUUAAAAUUUUUGCAAAACCCUCAUUUUUCACAUUUUUUAGCAUGCCAAAACUUCCCUUUAAAGGGGCUUUGAAAGGCAAACAUUAAACUGGAACAAAAAUAACAUGCAAUGGGAAAAAGGGGAAAUUUUUUCCUCAGUAUGGAAAAUAAAUCAUGACAAAAAUUUUUUUUUUUUUUAAAUCUGAAAUAGAUAAGUGCAUGCAGUAGUUGUUGACUGCCAUUUUUCAGUCUACAAAAUUACUGAUAUUGGCGCCAUUUAGUAUAUUUGUACGGAGUAUGGGGCAUAAGAUACAUAAAUAUACUUAUGAAAUGGAUUGAUAGGGCUGCUGCUGUUUUCAUUGACUUAUCAUAUACAUAAGGAGCCCACAAAUAUGUGGGCUGUGUCUGUGCCACACAGCAGGAUCAAUGGCUACACUAGAAACUGAGAUCUUAGCUCUUUUUUAAUCAGAGGUCAUAAACCAAUUUAUUUCACACUAAUCUUACUGAUUGGAUCUUGCCUUCUCUGAAGCCAUCUCCUCCUUUGACUGCAUCUGAGCUUCUAGUGAAGAGAAAUUACACUGAGCUUGUGUCAUCCUUAGCAAGGUGUUGCCUUGACAUCAAUUGCAGGGUCAAGCAAGCGGAGGUGCCUUAUUGCAAGAAGAAGAAGCAGCUUUUACAGGAAGGCUGUCUGGUGAGGUAAAACAUUCCCAUCACUCCAGGUUCCUUCAGGGGAGUGCUAGCCAGCACUCCCCUGUAUGUUGCUUUCACUUCCAAGUGGUGCAAAAACUAAAAGAAAAGCAAAAUACUCUGGGUGUCUAUAAUACACCUCAAAUACACUGAAGGUCAGCUAGAUCUGCCAGUUUGAGAGUUGUAUUAUUGAAAUACUGAAAAACCCAAAAUAAUAAAUAAAAAGUAUUCUAGGAAAGCAAUAUGUUCUGUUCUGCAAAAAGAUUUAAAUUUUUCCCUGAACUUCAAGCCAUUUAGUAACCCAAACAUUUCAAAUGGCAUUUCUGAAAGACAAUUUCUAAAAUUUGAAGCAUAUUUUAAACCAUGAAUGAAUUUCUAGUGAAUUGUGAUGGAUUCUUCAUUCUUGAAAAUAGCAGCAUUAAAAAUUAUUAUUCUUCCACAGAGAACAUGCUUCUCCAAACAGGGAUAAUUCAGUCCUGAAAAUCAUGCGCUAUUGGCCAGGCUAGACUGUCACAGUGGCACUCUGGGAUUAUUUAUGGAUGUAUCUGUGAGGAAAUGCUCAUAGAAGAAUCAGCCACACAUUUCUGGUGAGGAAUUUUUAUUGAUGACUGGGCUUUAUUUUAACUUUUUUUUCUUAGCGUGCCCCAAAAUUGAAUUCUAACUACCAACUUGUGGGGAAAAGGCGUAGAAAAGUCUGUCUUAAUUUCCUCAUGCAGGUGUUUAGAUGCAAGCUAGAGGAAGGGAUGAGAGAGGUGGAAAGUCGAGGGAAGGGCUAUCCCAGUCUGUUUGGUGUGACACUGUGUGGUGAAUGCCUCAUGAUGCUCACCGUGCUGGAAGCCUUGGCAGCUCCAUCUGCCAGUCAGAGCCACAAACAGCAGCACACACACUUCUUGUUUGAAGGAUGAGAGAACACUUUUUGCUGCUGUUUCAGCUUUGGGUAAGUGUUUGUUUCUCUGUUCUCCACAUAAAGCAACUGUUGAAGGAAAUGAGAGCGAGCAGAACAAGGACUAGGAAAGGAAGUGCUUCAAAUUUUGUUCCUGACACCAGCAACAAAUUGAAAUAGUGCAAAAUCCUUAGUGUUAGUCCUGCUCUCUCACGUGCUACACUUUGAGGAUAAGGGGCAUUAUCCAGCUCUCCUCUGCCCUGUGAGCAGCCCUGUGAGCAAAGAGCGCAAAGCCAUUUUCACAGAAUUAGUCUGAGUUGGAAACACCCACAAGGGUCAUUGUGUCCUGCUCUUGGCUCUGCACUGGGCAACCCCAGCUCCACACUUUUGCUGAUUUACGAAUGUUUACACAGACUGUAGAGAAGUUCCUGGCUUUUAAGUUACUGCAAAGUGCACCCAGGACGGUCUGAAAUUUGGCUUUUCAUGUUGGAGAUGAAAUAGAUCCAUAUAAUUCCUUUGCUUUUUCCUAUACCUCAAAAUUUUGCCUGGGCUACUACUCUUGAAUGCUAGUAGUAUUUUUGUUUGAGAAAUGCUUGCAAUAAAGGCAUAACUUCUUUGUUAAUGUUGAUUUAUAGUCUUUUACAACCAGAGCAAUUAAAGUGUUGCUGUUUAAAGUGAAUAUAUAUGGCAGGAAUUUAUUUGUGCAUAUUCAGCAAGAGCUUAAGGAUGAACCCAAUGGAAAAAUGAAGACUGGCACUGUUCUGAAAUCUCAAGGAGAAAAAUUCUGUGACUAAACUCAUGAUGAUGCUGGUUUAUAUAAUGUCUCCUUAGUGGAAAGAAAGCAUGACAUAUUCACAUUACAUUAGUUUUGCCUUCCCAGAUGGCCUUUCUUAGGGAAAUGAAAAAUUUACUUUUUCAAGAAAUGAUUGCAGGAUUGCUGUUUUGUUUGUUUUUCAAAUUUUCGAUGUUGUGGAUAAAAGCAAAAAUUCAUGGUCAGUGUCUCCAUCUUUGAAGUGCUGCAUGGAUAAACAUGGGUUUUUUUCCUCAUUCACCUAUAACUCUUUCUCCCCCAAAAAGGUGAUAAUUUGAAUUAACAAGAAAUACAAAAUAAUAUUUUUAAGAAUCUAUUGGACAAACAUCUCUUUCAAUUAUUUGAACUAGACUUUAACUAAGGAAAUGAAGAAAUAAAAAAACUGAGAGAGGAAAAAAACUAGUUAUCCAUCGUCUGUAUCAGUCGAGCUUUUAUUAGAACUCCUCUAAUUUGAAUUAAUUUCUGCAAUGACUUAAAAUUUCUGAUUUCAAAAAUUCUCUUAAUUAGUCUUGGCACAAUUACUGUACUCCCUGAUUGUGAUCUCUUACAAGGUGUCAGGGCAUGUCAUUACACUGAGAGCACACAUGACAGAGUUAGAGGGAUGUGUCACAACAUCCUAAAUGAUGUCUGUUCCUCUGUCCUUGGAAAUCCACUCCUGAAACAAUUACACUGGUGAGGAAAGGUUGUAAUAGGCCAAAGAUGCUUCUAAAACAUCAUCCUUGUUGUAUCCUGGAGUGGUACCCACUGAUCCUUAGAUUCUGCAUUGAGAAAAAAUCUUGUCUCAAAUGAUGGGGAAUUGACUUAAUUUAGAUGUCAUGCAAGGAGACCCUGAAGGUGAAGAUGGAUUUCAGCCACACUGCUUGUUUUUACCUGAUAAUAUUUAAAUAAUUCCACCUUGUUAUUUCCUGUAUAUUUCAAGGAAGUUGAAGUCCCCUGCAGCUCUAGUGCAAGGCAAGAAUGAAUACAGUUCAUUUGUCAAAGUGUCACUGACCUAUUUUAUAAUAACCUGUAUAGUAGCCACAAUUCCAGAUUUAUUUCUCUGCUGUGACAGUGAAAGCAGUUUUAUUGCAGAUAAAUUGACACUGAAAACAAGCUCUCCCUUCUCCCUGCAGCAUUCCUAUGGGCAGCAACCACAACAGGGCCAUGGGAAUUUUCGAAGGAAAAUUUUAGUGCACAAUAAAUAAACAUUUAUAAAUUAUCAGAUAUCACCAGACAACCUGCUGGAAAUGUAAGCCACAAAAAGAGACCCACACCCAAAGCCUCACCCAGGGAUCACCCAUCACACAUACACAAUAUAUGGGCACACAUACACAAUAUAUGGGCACACAUACACAAUAUAUGGGAACACAUACACGUGCUCCCACACUGUGUAAGAGCAAGCAAAGGUUUUCCUGUUUCACUGUAACCAUAAAUGUAUAAAAACUUUUUACUUUCUCACCUUCAGGAUUUAAUAUCCACACAGGGAGAAGCAAUUAGACAAGUGCUAGACUUAUAUGUCAGUGUUAUUAGGGGCAACUUGUUAACAUUUAGAGAGGAUUUGAAAGGGGGUUAUAGCAUUGUGUGGAGUUGGCCAUAUCCUAGGGAGAGAGGGAAAGUAAGGAAGAGCUUAGCGAGCCCUUUCCCAGUGGGCUCCUGUAAUUUAUGAUCUCCAGGAAUACAGAAGACAGGUGUGAAUGAGCUGGGACAUCUGAAUGUCUUUCAUUUUCCCCGUGGUAUGUGCCAUCCCCAAGCACCAGGGUUGUUUAUCAGGAAAAAUGUGUUUCCCAUUCUUCCUGCAUUUAGUGGAAAUAAGAUACUCUUACUGGCUUUGUGACAUUUACCACACUCAAUUUAAAAGAGAUGUUUUAUUUUCUUUUCAAGUGCCUUCUCUGUUAGCUUCAUACUUUUGAGACUGUCCACAGAGUAACAGCAUGAUGAUUGUUUUCUAAAAUCCUCUUGAAGUUUCAUCAGAUUUUGUUGGAUCUUUCAAUAAGCUAGGAUAAGUCUUUGGGAUCCAUGAGUAUAAGUACAUUUAUUUUGCUAAACUUUAUUAUCCUUUCCUCUGUUGCCUAGGGCUAAUAUUUGUUUUGUGUGACACUUUGUAAAUGUAUUAAAAGACCGUGGACAUACAUAGUGGUGGGAGGUGACUGCAUUUAAUCAGUGACUGACUGCAUGCAAAGAAUGGUGUUUGAUUUCUCCUUCAUAUCACCAGUAAAGGAAAAAAGAAAGCUGGGGAAGAAGGUUGUGGUGGUUUCAAUCUUUCAUAUUAAAACCUGGAAAGGAAUUAUUGCCUCCAUCAGCCUUAGUGUUGCCACAGUAGAUGAGUUGUAGCACAAGCAGCCCAAUUGAGCCCUUCUGUCUUGUACUGGGGUAGAAAAUGGACAGGUCUGAGAUGGAGGAACUGUGCAGGGCAGCCUGAGCAGCUCACACCUACGUGGUGUUUGGCUUCAGAAAGCCACCUGCUCACAGCGCUUUCCUGUGACAUGCCUGUGUUUCCAAUGGAAAAUAGCUCAUGUUUAUAAUCUCAAUUUAUCAGUUUCCCUCUCACAGGUGUGGAGAGAAAAUGCAAGGCAAGGCAGAAUCGGGAACCAUGCCUGGGAUCCACAACAUAAAAUUAAACCAUCAAAUCAAAGUUUGUAUGCCUCUACAUUCCAUUUCAGCUAGUAACUUAAAAAAUAUAGAAAAAGAAUUUCUUUACAGUAGCUUCUACACUGCUGUUUGGGUUUUGUGAUCAGAACAGAGCUGAGAACAUAGGGACAGGAUCAAAGACCUUUCUGCUUCUCACACUGCCUGUCAGCGAGGAGGCACAAGAAGGUGGGAAAGCUGACCGUGGAAGAAUAUUCCAUGCCAUAUGAGAUUGUGUUCAGAAAUUAAAGCUGGGAGAGAAAUGGAGAUGAGGUAUUCUGGGUGAUGCUAUUUGUCUUCCCUUAGUACUUAGGUGUUAAGUAGUUUCCUGGCCAUGUUCCUGCUUUCCUGGCCAUGGCUAAACACCUGCCUGCAGAUGGGAAGUAGUGAGUGAAGUCCUUAAUUUGCUCUGCUUAGGUGUGCAACUUUUGCUUUACCAAGUGAACUGUCUUUAUCUCAGCCAACAAGGUUUCUCAUUUUCACUCCUCAGUUGUUUUCCCUAUCCCACUUGGGGUGUGAGACAGCAGCUGUGUGGAGCUGAGCUCUCCACAAGGGUUAGCAGGCAGGAGUCCUUUGUGGACCCACAGUCCUCGUACCCCUGCCAGUAAAAUGUGUCUUUUUGGGCUUAGCAUUUCUGUCUUAAAGCAGAAUUUGUUUACAGCAGUUCAAAAAGGACACAAAAAAAUCCCUUUUAAUACAUGGCAAUAAAUACAUCUACCUAAUAUAGACUUAUGUGCAUGUUCAGUCUAAAACUCCUUUUUUUCCAGGGUAUAAGUCCUUGCUCAGUGUGCUGGAGGAAACUGAAAAUUGAAGCAUUCUCUGCCGUUACACUGAAUUACUGGGAGUCUCAGCCACAACAAUGUAAAUGCGUGUUCUUUUCAGGGAGGUAACAUAUGUACCUUGGUGAUUCACUGUCAGUUCAUAUAUUAAUAAAGAGCUGACUUCUUACCCAAAACUGAGCUUCUGAAAUUGUCAUGAUUGCUUAAUGCAAGAGACCAUAGAAAAGCCAGCCAAGGCCUGUGGGCUAUUUGGAAUUUGAAUAUGACUAAUUUUUCAUUCACAAUUAAUGCAGAAAUGCGCUCAGCGUGAAGAGCAAAAUCACAUGAAAAUAGUGAAAUCACUGAAAUAGUUUUUAGAUUACUUGAGGGCACACAGUUUUGUUCUUUGAUUGUGUAAACUUAGGACAAUAAAAGCCCCAAAGGAUCCAAGAGGGGACAUGGCUUGGACACUUUGUACUAACUAAUUCCAAGUGAAAUGUCAUAGCUGCUGAUUACAAGCAUUCACUAAGUUAGCAAGCUGUUUCAAAAAGUUUGUGCUAUUUCUGUCUGUGUUUUUCUUUUACUUAAAAAUUCAAUGCCUCACUAAAUCAGAACAGAGAACAUUAUUUUAAUGAUUUGUAAAUAUAUAGGAAUAAAUGUUAUUUGAGAUAUACCUUCCAGAACAGAGUAAUUUUUGUUUAUGGGUUGUGGUUUUUUUGGUUUUUUUCCCCCUUGCAGGAUACUGAAGAUUUGCCAAGAUGGCACAUCAGAGCAGACUUCUGGUCAAAGAGAAUGUGUUCACUAGUAAAGCCAUCAAUCAAUUCUAUGCCUUCUGGUAGGUCCUUCUAAAGUGUAAGACCUUCUAAAGGACAGUGUAGGAAAUAAUUUGUGGAAAUCAUUAUGGGUGGAAGAUAAAAAUGGUGAUAGGAAUUUUGCAUAAAUGGGAAACAAUAGUGGCCACUUAUGCCAGAAUAGUUUAUUAUAUUAGGAAGUUAGAUAACUGGGACACUUUAUGGACACAGGUCAGAAGAGUUUAGUCUGUUCAAAAAGCAGCUGAUCAAAAUUUAAUAACUUGCUUCAAUUAAGAUAAAAGAGUACUCUGAUACGUUGCCACCUUAAAUAAGAUAUUUAUUGAUAUAAGUUUAUGAAAAUAAUAAAAAUAAAAGAAAGACCACCAUGGAGAAAAUGCUGUCCUUCUAUUAAUCCCAUUCUCAUUCAGCAGAGGAACAGAUUCUUAUCUUUUAAUACCUUAAAAGAAAGAAUCUUUACAUUUACAUUGUAUAAUCUUUCAUAUCACAUGAACUUUUCAAUGUAAUUGUUGGCUGCAAACCCUUUAUAUCUCUGUGAGACAGGAUAUGUAUGAGGUACUAUUUACUUAUUUAGUCACUGCAUUGCAGCUUCAAACAAAAAUUCCUUUUAUCUCUUACAGUUGCUUGGGG